AAGUCUAAAAUGACUCUCGGCAACGGAUAUCUCGGCUCUCGCAUCGAUGAAGAACGUAGCGAAAUGCGAUACUUGGUGUGAAUUGCAGAAUCCCGUGAACCAUCGAGUCUUUGAACGCAAGUUGCGCCCCAAGCCUUUUGGCCGAGGGCACGUCUGCCUGGGUGUCACU
RNAcentral lists this ribosomal RNA (169 nucleotides) under Lunaria rediviva. RNAcentral describes it as "5.8S ribosomal RNA". It matches the Rfam family "5.8S ribosomal RNA". From Rfam's summary of the family: 5.8S ribosomal RNA (5.8S rRNA) is a component of the large subunit of the eukaryotic ribosome. It is transcribed by RNA polymerase I as part of the 45S precursor that also contains 18S and 28S rRNA. Functionally, it is thought that 5.8S rRNA may be involved in ribosome translocation. Lineage: Eukaryota; Viridiplantae; Streptophyta; Magnoliopsida; Brassicales; Brassicaceae. The record is from RNAcentral.